Molecule: ribosomal RNA, 229 nt
Filed under: uncultured bacterium
Lineage: Bacteria
Description: partial 16S ribosomal RNA
Rfam family: Bacterial small subunit ribosomal RNA
Source: RNAcentral
UGCGUAGGUGGCGUGUUAAGUCAGUGGUGAAAGCCUGCAGCUCAACGGUAGAGGUGCCAUUGAUACUGACAUGCUUGAGUAUGGACGAGGUAGGCGGAAUUUGUGGUGUAGCGGUGAAAUGCAUAGAUACCACAAAGAACACCGAUAGCGAAGGCAGCUUACUGGACCAUAACUGACACUGAGGCACGAAAGCGUGGGGAGCGAACAGGAUUAGAUACCCUGGUAGUCC